UCAAUGGUGAAGGCGGUUGUUGUUGUUGUUGCUGCUGCUGCUCUGGUGAAAACAGCGGUGGCGGGAAAUUUACGUUGCAUGGUUGAAGAAGGAUUACUGUUAGAGUCGGUAUGAACGCAGGGUGGUUGUUCAAUGUCGAUCGGAGGGGAUCGAAUAACGUUGGCGGAGAAGAGAGCGCAGUGUUGAGUGCUGCAGUGUUUUGAUUGGCGGGAGGUGUCGAUAUCAGUAAUAAGUUGUUCGGUGGGAAAAAAGAGAACUGGUUGUUCAAUGUCUAUGGAGAAAGAAGCUUCUUUAGGGUUGUUUUGGUUAAGGAGAAGCUCGAGUUGGUGGCUAAGAUCAUCCAUGGAGGGAGGGAGGGAGACAGAGAUAUGGGUGUGGAAUGCAUAGAUAUGAGAAUUAGGGUUGUAUAUAUAAAGAUGGUCAUGUAAUAUUACUGUGAGUGAGGUAGUGCCGUUGCCUUUAAUGAAGUUCCUCAAGGUUGUAAUUAUAGCCUGAAGAUUCUCAACGAUAUUGUAGAUAUAUGCAACGUUUCAUGUAUCACUUAUUAAUUACGUAGCUUCAACUAGUGUGGCUCCAAAUUACCUAAGUAGUUAUCAACGUCAUGUAUUUCCUAGUUAGCUACAAGUGAGAAAUUCUUCGAUCCAUUGUAUAAAAAAGCCUAUGCCGAAUGCAUUUCAUGUUUAAACAUCUUUCAUUUAUCAAUCCAAUGUAUAAAAAAGCCUAUGCCGAAUGCAUUUCAUGUUUGUACAUCUUUCAUUUAUCAAUCGUUCAUUUCAUGUUACAUUUCGAUCUAAGAUAUCUAGAUAACUUUGUAAAUUUUUUUAUUUAAUUUUUAUUGAUUGGAUCAAAAAAAAUAUCAUAGGAUGAAAGCUUCAUAAACAAGCGGUAUAGUAAUAUGUAAAUACACAUGGUCUAGGUAAUAAGUUUCCUUCUUAUAUUUUUGUUUUGCCCAAAUUCAAUUCUACCGCGCCUUUACAUACCCACUGGCCCUACCUACGUACCCACUGGCCCUACCUCUCUUCGCGGCCAUUUAUUAGGCCGACGCCACCUUGGGUAUAAAUAUGUGUGCACUCCUCACAGAACGUCCACAACACACAUUGCCAACAACAGAAACACUCUAACUCACGCAACCUCGCAGAACGUCCACAACACACAUCGCCCACAACAGAAACACUCAACUCACCCAACACCAAAAUCCCUCCAACAAAAGUUCAAAAUGAGUGCACUACAAACAAUUAUCUUACUGCUGUUCAUCCUUAGUUCCAUCGGCGCGGAUGGCAUCCCAGGUGGUGGCGCGGAUAGCGUCCCUAGUGGCGGGUGGGAGCUACUUCAAAAAGUAUUGGAGUAUCGGUGAUGCACAUGCAAUUGCUUCAUACUGAUCACGUGAUUAUUUUUUAUCGUACUGACUUUGGUCAUUCCAAUCUCUCCCUCCCGCGUAUAGUCAGCAUUAUAUCAUGUCGUUGGUGUAAUUUUAUUACAGUUGAUAUAUUGGAGGGAUACUGAUGCUGUUGGUGUAAUUUUAUUACAGUUGAUCAUGUUGUUGGUGUAAUUUUAUUACAGUUGAUAGAUGGUUGUACGUGCAGUGGAAGAUAAAUUAGAGCUCGGUAUCAAUAUUGCCUGUUGUUGAAUUUUUUUAAGUUUUUACUAAUUACUGUAUUAUUAGAUUAGAUCCAAAGACCGACAGUAAAAAUAUCUAUUAUUUUAUGUCCUUUUUUAUCUCCAAAAUACCCUUCUACUUACCUUUUUCUUAACUAUCUACAAAAUUAAUGAUGAAUAAAAAGAAUAUAUUUUCUUCUUUUGAGGUAUUUAAAAAUAGAAUAUUAAAAGACCAACUACUACCAUAUUCAAUACCUUGAAAGGUAUUUUUUUUUUGUCGUACAUUCUCUUUUUUUUUUCUAUUGGUAAAAUUAAAAAUGUCCGUGGACCGGGUCGGGUCUGGAUAAUUAAUAUACUGUACCCAUACCCUAAAAAGAAAUGGUUACAAAAAAUAUAUAUAUACCCUACCCAUUUAACUUCGGGUCGGGUCCGGGUCUGGGUACUAAAGUUUCUAAUAUACCCAUCGGGUCUAUUUGAGCGGGUCUGGGUAGUGACUACCCGUAUACUACCCGUUCAAAAUCGGAUAUGGAUCGGAUCUAAAUCAGGUACGGAUAUCCGUAUAAAUAUAUUUUUUUAUAAACUUUAUUAAAUAGUCAAUAAACAAACUAUAUUGUUGACAAUGAAAUAUUAUUGGCGGAAAUGAAAUGAAAAAAAAGAGUAGAAAACAAAGAGUAAAAAAAUUAGAAAAAAGUAAUGAGUAAAAGAGACGGCUAGGGUUUCAUUAGGAUGAAAAUACAUAGUGACUCAUCAUCUAUAAGUCAUAUUAAAAUUGAUCCUUCAACUUCAAAAGUUUUUUUUUUUUUAUUUACUAUCGGAUAUUUCAUCGGGUCCGGGUCAGGGUCCGGAUUUGAAAACUAUUCCGGACCCUACCCAUUUAAAAGUUAGGUUCGGGUCAGGUCCAAAUCGGGUAUGGGUAUAAAAUAUCCGGACCUAUACCCGAAAUUUUAAUGGGUAAUUUUUUUUAUUCGUAUACUAUUCAUUUUUUAUCGGGUCCGGUUCGGGUCCGGUUCGGGUCCGGGUAGGGUCCGGAUCGGAUAUGGGAUAUCGGAUAUUUUGGACACCUUUAGGUAAAAUUUCCUUUAAAACCCAUCCUAUUUGGCAUUAACCAAUCAAAAUAAAUUUUGGUUGAUGUCCUCUCAACUUCAAUUUAUGUUUAUUUGAAUUAUGCGUAUUUUGUUUUAAUACUUGAUAAAAAAAACAAUAGUUCUUAUGUUAUAUAUAUUAACAUAAAUGUAUAGACAUUAAAUAACAUAAAACAACAGUUCUUGUGUUAUAUAUAUUAAUAUAUAUGUCUAUACAUUAAUAGUGGUAACAAUGUAAAUUACAUAGUUUUGUGGCUUCUAAUAAAGUGGAAUAUAUUUAAAAGAGCUUAUAAAAUUAUAAAAAAUAAAAUAUUUAAUUUAACAGUAAUUUAAAAUAAUUGUAAUAACAAAUUAUGCAAGAGCAUCCAUAAAAUAAAUACGGUUGAUAAGGCUAUUUAAAAUUGUCUUAGGAGGUAUUUUAAGGUUUAGAAUUUAAGAUUUAAAGUUUAUUGAAUUUUAAACAAAUUUUUAUUUGACAAAAUUAAACAUUGCCUUUGUAAUUAUGUGUAACAUGCAAGCUGAGUCCAAUUUUCUAGUAGUAAUAAAAAAGCUGAGUCCAAUUUUCUAGUAGUAAUAAAAAAAAUCGAGUCCAAUUUUCUAGUAGUAAUAAAAAAGUCGAGUACCUACGAUUCAUUUUUAUCUUCUCCAAACGUUUAGUUUGUUUAGUGAUAGCUGAAAGAUGUAUAAACAAAAUUCAUACAUGAAUCCAAAUCCGUCGAAUUUUUAUUUUUAUAUUCGUAUCUGAAACUAUUUUUGUUUAACUUCAGAUAAAUUUGCUCUGUUUGGAUUUAAAUUCGAAUAAAACUUUGAAUAUCAGUACCUAUUGACAUCCCUACUCUCCAUUUAAUUAAGGGUCCAUUUAUGUAUACACGUUGCUCUCCAUUGUACUCCAAUAAUCUAUAAACGUGACAUAAUUUGAUUGGAUUUUUAAAUUUUAAUUUAUUAGUGUGGUCUUUAUGAAAGUCAAACUCAAAAACUUAAUGAGACAACAUACAUAAAAAAACAAAUCAAUGCUUUAGAAAUAGAGCAAUUUUAGAAAUAUAACAAUAAUUAUAGAAUAUCUUUUUAAAAAUGACAAUUAUUAUAAGCUAGGGCUACUAUACUUUUAUGACAAUAAUUACAAGCUAGGGCUACUCUAAUUAUAGAAUAUCUUUUUGACCGUUGGAUAAAGGAACAUGCGGUUAGGAUGAUAGUAGUCCCCGAGGGUUGAGUGGGUGGUUGUUUAAUAGUUCUUACGUCAUCUGUUUUGUUGUUUGUUUCAGAGCCAUCCGCAUCGGGAGAGGCUAGGGAUCGUGGCAAUGGGUUAACGACUAGCUAGAGCCCCUACGGAGCUAUUUUAAAUGGACUCGACAUCAUCUUUCUUUUUGUAUCUUGUGGAAAGAUGUAUUAUGUAUUUGGUUUAGAGAUUAUGUUAAACUUUUGGAUUUAGUUGUAUAUAUUUUGGAUCUCUUUAUGCUAGAAUAUUAGUGAUUUUAUUUUACUCGCUCUGAUAGCCUUGUUAGGACUUUAUCUUAUUCAUUUCUAGUUUUUGGUAGACGCCUUGUGUGCACUGUGGUUGUUUGGUGUACACGGCGGGUCUGUGCGCGCACCGGGCGGGCUUCUGCUGGGUCCCGGGGCGUGACAGGUAGCUUUUGUUUUGGACAUUGUAGGUGUUUCGAAUAUCCAUGCACAACAUUUGGUUCAUUCGGUUCAUGAGAUUCAAUCCAAAAUAGCCCAUCAAUAGUGAAAGUGGUUGUUGUUGGUGGUGGUGUUACUGCUGCUUUGGUGAAAACAGCUGUGGCGGAAAAUUUACGUUGCAUGGUGGAAGAAAGAUUACUGUUGGAGUUGGUGUGAACGCAGGGUGGUUGUUCAAUGUCUAUCGGAGGGGAUCGAAUAACGUUGGCGGAGAAAAGAGCGCGGUGUUGAGUGCUGCAGUGUUUUGAUUGACGGGAGGUGUCGAUAUCAGUGAUAAGUUGUUCGGUGGGAAAAAGGGAACUGGUUGUUCAAUGUCUAUGGAGAAAGAAGCUUCUUUAGGGCUGUUUUGGUUAAGGAGAAGCUCGAGUUGGUGGCUAAGAUCAUCCAUGGAGGGAGGGAGGGAGAGAGAUAUGGGUGUGGAAUGCAUAGAUAUGAGAAUUAGGGUUGUAUAUAUAGAGAUGGUCAUGUAAUAUUACUAUGAGUGAGGUAGUGCCAUUGCUUUUAAUGAAGUU
RNAcentral lists this long non-coding RNA (4864 nucleotides) under Ananas comosus (pineapple). RNAcentral's name for it is "long non-coding RNA (ACOM_LNC027601)". Lineage: Eukaryota; Viridiplantae; Streptophyta; Magnoliopsida; Poales; Bromeliaceae. The record is from RNAcentral.